CCUACGGGAGGCUGCAGUGGGGAAUAUUGCACAAUGGAGGGAACUCUGAUGCAGCGACGCCGCGUGAGUGAAGAAGUAAUUCGUUAUGUAAAGCUCUAUCAGCAGGGAAGAAAGUGACGGUACCUGAAAAAGAAGCUCCGGCUAAAUACGUGCCAGCAGCCGCGGUAAUACGUAGGGGGCAAGCGUUAUCCGGAAUCACUGGGUGUAAAGGGAGCGUAGACGGCUGAGCAAGCCUGAGGUGAAAGGCGGGGGCCCAACCCCCGGACUGCUUUGGGAACUGUACGGCUGGAGUGCAGGAGGGGUAAGGGGAAUUCCGAGUGUAGCGGGGAAAUGCGUAGAUAUUAGGAGGAACACCAGUGGCGAAGGCGGCUUACUGGACUGUAACUGACGUUGAGGCUCGAAAGCGUGGGGAGCAAACAGGAUUAGAUACCCUUGUAGUC
This 440-nucleotide ribosomal RNA is filed under the name uncultured bacterium. RNAcentral describes it as "partial 16S ribosomal RNA". It matches the Rfam family "Bacterial small subunit ribosomal RNA", at positions 338 to 795 of the family's 1533-position model. The record is from RNAcentral.